RNAcentral lists this ribosomal RNA (490 nucleotides) under uncultured bacterium. RNAcentral's name for it is "partial 16S ribosomal RNA". It matches the Rfam family "Bacterial small subunit ribosomal RNA", at positions 30 to 507 of the family's 1533-position model. The record is from RNAcentral.
AUUGAACGCUGGCGGCAGGCCUAACACAUGCAAGUCGAACGGUAACAGGAAGCAGCUUGCUGCUUUGCUGACGAGUGGCGGACGGGUGAGUAAUGUCUGGGAAACUGCCCGAUGGAGGGGGUUAACUACUGGAAACGGUAGCUAAUACCGCAUAACGUCGCAAGACCAAAGAGGGGGACCUUAGGGCCUCUUGCCAUCGGAUGUGCCCAGAUGGGAUUAGCUAGUAGGUGGGGUAACGGCUCACCUAGGCGACGAUCCCUAGCUGGUCUGAGAGGAUGACCAGCCACACUGGAACUGAGACACGGUCCAGACUCCUACGGGAGGCAGCAGUGGGGAAUAUUGCACAAUGGGCGCAAGCCUGAUGCAGCCAUGCCGCGUGUAUGAAGAAGGCCUUCGGGUUGUAAAGUACUUUCAGCGGGGAGGAAGGGAGUAAAGUUAAUACCUUUGCUCAUUGACGUUACCCGCAGAAGAAGCACCGGCUAACUCCGUG